RNAcentral lists this ribosomal RNA (496 nucleotides) under uncultured bacterium. RNAcentral's name for it is "partial 16S ribosomal RNA". It matches the Rfam family "Bacterial small subunit ribosomal RNA", at positions 28 to 506 of the family's 1533-position model. The record is from RNAcentral.
GAUGAACGCUGGCGGCGUGCCUAAUACAUGCAAGUCGAGCGAACAGACGAGGAGCUUGCUCCUCUGACGUUAGCGGCGGACGGGUGAGUAACACGUGGAUAACCUACCUAUAAGACUGGGAUAACUUCGGGAAACCGGAGCUAAUACCGGAUAAUAUAUUGAACCGCAUGGUUCAAUAGUGAAAGACGGUUUUGCUGUCACUUAUAGAUGGAUCCGCGCCGCAUUAGCUAGUUGGUAAGGUAACGGCUUACCAAGGCGACGAUGCGUAGCCGACCUGAGAGGGUGAUCGGCCACACUGGAACUGAGACACGGUCCAGACCCCUACGGGAGGCAGCAGUAGGGAAUCUUCCGCAAUGGGCGAAAGCCUGACGGAGCAACGCCGCGUGAGUGAUGAAGGUCUUCGGAUUGUAAAACUCUGUUAUUAGGGAAGAACAAAUGUGUAAGUAACUAUGCACGUCUUGACGGUACCUAAUCAGAAAGCCACGGCUAACUACGU